Molecule: long non-coding RNA, 220 nt
Filed under: Elaeis guineensis (African oil palm)
Lineage: Eukaryota; Viridiplantae; Streptophyta; Magnoliopsida; Arecales; Arecaceae
Description: long non-coding RNA (EGUI_LNC020104)
Source: RNAcentral
GGUAUGAAGUGAAUUUCUAUGACACACAAUAUGUUAUUGAACUGAAUUCACUCACUUACAACUAUAGGCUAUGGGAUUUGUCUGGAAUCCUUCGUAAACAUGCAAUUGCAGCAAUACAUGUAAAUAGAGAGAAGUCAGAGACAUUUAUGCAUCAAUAUUACCACAAAUCUACAUAUUUAGCAGUAUACAAUCAUGCAAUCUAUCCAGUGCCAAGCUAGGA